Molecule: non-coding RNA, 199 nt
Filed under: uncultured Ruminococcus sp.
Lineage: Bacteria; Bacillati; Bacillota; Clostridia; Eubacteriales; Oscillospiraceae
Source: RNAcentral
AGAACUGAUAGUCCGAAAGGUGGAAUGAUAGGGUAACGCCUUGAAACGCCUUCCCUAAUACUCCGACUGGCAUUUUCUGUAAUGGAAUUUGUCAGAAGCUCGGUGAAGUCGGCUGAGAGAUACCGUAAGUCAUAUCAAGGUAUGAUACGAAAGUUGUUUAGAGAUAAAUGAUGUAUCCUAUAGGUCGGGGGUCUAUAAA